RNAcentral lists this transfer RNA (71 nucleotides) under Crocinitomicaceae bacterium. RNAcentral describes it as "tRNA-Gln". It matches the Rfam family "tRNA". Rfam says of the family: Transfer RNA (tRNA) molecules are approximately 80 nucleotides in length. Their secondary structure includes four short double-helical elements and three loops (D, anti-codon, and T loops). The record is from RNAcentral. Lineage: Bacteria; Pseudomonadati; Bacteroidota; Flavobacteriia; Flavobacteriales; Crocinitomicaceae.
UUCCCUGUGGUGUAAUGGUAGCACAGUGGGUUUUGAGUCCACUUGUCUAGGUUCGAGUCCUAGCGGGGAUA